This 104-nucleotide microRNA precursor is filed under the name Podarcis lilfordi (Lilford's wall lizard). The record is from RNAcentral. Lineage: Eukaryota; Metazoa; Chordata; Lepidosauria; Squamata; Lacertidae.
UCAUUGUGUGUGUGUGUGUGUGUGUGUGUGUGUGAAUCUCUCUCUCUCUCUCUCUCUCUCUCUCUCUCCAUAUAGACACACACACACACACACACACACAGCGC